Molecule: unclassified non-coding RNA, 343 nt
Filed under: soil metagenome
Description: partial contains 5.8S ribosomal RNA, internal transcribed spacer 2, and large subunit ribosomal RNA
Rfam family: 5.8S ribosomal RNA (bases 1-120)
Source: RNAcentral
GAUGAAGAACGCAGCGAAAUGCGAUAAGUAAUGUGAAUUGCAGAAUUCAGUGAAUCAUCGAGUCUUUGAACGCACAUUGCGCCCCCUGGUAUUCCGGGGGGCAUGCCUGUCCGAGCGUCAUUGCUGCCCUCAAGCACGGCUUGUGUGUUGGGCCCCGUCCCCUCCCCCGGGGACGGGCCCGAAAGGCAGCGGCGGCACCGCGUCCGAUCCUCGAGCGUAUGGGGCUUUGUCACCCGCUCUGUAGGCCCGGCCGGCGCCAGCCGACACCCAACUUUUAUUUCUAAGGUUGACCUCGGAUCAGGUAGGGAUACCCGCUGAACUUAAGCAUAUCAAUAAGCGGGGA